Molecule: ribosomal RNA, 456 nt
Filed under: uncultured bacterium
Lineage: Bacteria
Description: bacterial SSU rRNA
Rfam family: Bacterial small subunit ribosomal RNA
Source: RNAcentral
GAUGAACGCUGGCGGCGUGCUUAACACAUGCAAGUCGAACGGGAUCCCAGGAGCUUGCUCCUGGGUGAGAGUGGCGAACGGGUGAGUAAUGCGUGACCGACCUGCCCCAUACACCGGAAUAGCUCCUGGAAACGGGUGGUAAUGCCGGAUGCUCCAGUUGACCGCAUGGUCCUCUGGGAAAGAUUCAUCGGUAUGGGAUGGGGUCGCGUCCUAUCAGCUUGAUGGCGGGGUAACGGCCCACCAUGGCUUCGACGGGUAGCCGGCCUGAGAGGGCGACCGGCCACAUUGGGACUGAGAUACGGCCCAGACUCCUACGGGAGGCAGCAGUGGGGAAUAUUGCACAAUGGGCGCAAGCCUGAUGCAGCGACGCCGCGUGCGGGAUGACGGCCUUCGGGUUGUAAACCGCUUUUGACUGGGAGCAAGCCCUUCGGGGUGAGUGUACCUUUCGAAUAAGCA